Molecule: transfer RNA, 539 nt
Filed under: uncultured cyanobacterium
Lineage: Bacteria; Bacillati; Cyanobacteriota
Description: partial 16S-23S ribosomal RNA intergenic spacer
Rfam family: tRNA (bases 210-282)
Source: RNAcentral
CAGGGAGACAACAAAAUGUUUAAUAUUAUUUUGUCACCUUAGGUCGAUCGGUAUCUCACAUUCUUAAUUUAUUAAGGAUUUUAUUUCCUAAGUUUUUUCUAGGUCACACCCAUUACUUUUCCUGGGCCAUUAGCUCAGGUGGUUAGAGCGCACCCCUGAUAAGGGUGGGGUCCCUGGUUCAAGUCCAGGAUGGCCCAUAUCUCUAUGUUGGGGGUAUAGCUCAGUUGGUAGAGCGCCUGCUUUGCAAGCAGGAUGUCAGCGGUUCGAGUCCGCUUACCUCCACUGAUUACCACCUCUUCCAUAUUUACAGAAGGGAAAUGUUUUGAGUUGUGAUCAAAUUCUGAACGAAUCUAGCUUCCUAAUCAAACUCAUUAAGAUGCUGGACUCAUUGAAUUAAUUCAUUGUUUUCAGAGAACCUUGACAACUGCAUAGAUUAUUUUUAAAGACAAUAAGCAUCUUUUAAUGAUGCAGAUUUAUUAUUUGUGCGAAUGCAUUAAUAACAAUUCUAUUAAGCUGAUGCUUCAAUUUUUGAAGUUAUU